Molecule: ribosomal RNA, 420 nt
Filed under: uncultured bacterium
Lineage: Bacteria
Description: bacterial SSU rRNA
Rfam family: Bacterial small subunit ribosomal RNA
Source: RNAcentral
GAAUAUUGGUCAAUGGGCGCAAGCCUGAACCAGCCAUGCCGCGUGCAGGAUGACGGUCCUAUGGAUUGUAAACUGCUUUUAUACAGGAAGAAACACUCCCUCGUGAGGGAGCUUGACGGUACUGUAGGAAUAAGGACCGGCUAACUCCGUGCCAGCAGCCGCGGUAAUACGGAGGAUCCAAGCGUUAUCCGGAAUCAUUGGGUUUAAAGGGUCCGUAGGCGGUUUGAUAAGUCAGUGGUGAAAGCCCAUCGCUCAACGAUGGAACGGCCAUUGAUACUGUCAGACUUGAAUUAGUGGGAAGUAACUAGAAUAUGUAGUGUAGCGGUGAAAUGCUUAGAUAUUACAUGGAAUACCAAUUGCGAAGGCAGGUUACUAUCACUAUAUUGACGCUGAUGGACGAAAGCGUGGGGAGCGAACAGG